UAUCAACCCCGGUUGAUCCUGCCGGACCCGACCGCUAUCGGGGUGGGACUAAGCCAUGGGAGUCGUGCGCCCCGGGGAAUGGCGGGGCGCGGCGCACGGCUCAGUAACACGUAGCUAACCUACCCUCGGGACGGGGAUAACCCCGGGAAACUGGGGCUAAUCCCCGAUAGGGGAGGGCACCUGGAAUGGGCCCUCUCCGAAAGGGGCACGGUGCCACCCUCGCCGUGCCCGCC
Molecule: ribosomal RNA, 233 nt
Filed under: Thermoprotei archaeon
Lineage: Archaea; Thermoproteati; Thermoproteota; Thermoprotei
Description: partial 16S ribosomal RNA
Rfam family: Archaeal small subunit ribosomal RNA
Source: RNAcentral